RNAcentral lists this long non-coding RNA (538 nucleotides) under Triticum aestivum (bread wheat). RNAcentral's name for it is "long non-coding RNA (TAES_LNC023218)". Lineage: Eukaryota; Viridiplantae; Streptophyta; Magnoliopsida; Poales; Poaceae. The record is from RNAcentral.
UUGGGAGAAUCUGGGCCCACCACUCCCCCAUCUCCCCUCCUAUAAAGCGACCUCCGAUACCAUCGUCCAUGGAGAACAAAAGCAAGAAGUCUGCUACCCAAUCCCAUCUACUGCUCCCCCAUCUCUCUUCCUGCUCGGUGGUGUACUUGUGGUGUCGACGAUGAGGAGCUCCAUGGCUCUGCUGGCGGCCGCGGCGGCGCUGCUGCUGCUGGUGUCGCUGGCGGCGGCGGCGGACAUGUCGAUCGUGUCGUACGGGGAGCGGAGCGAGGAGGAGGUGCGGCGGAUGUACGCCGAGUGGAUGUCCGAGCACCGCAGGACGUACAACGCCAUCGGCGAGGAGGAGCGCCGCUUCGAGGUGUUCCGGGACAACCUCCGCUACAUCGACCAGCACAACGCCGCCGCCGACGCCGGGCUCCACUCCUUCCGCCUCGGCCUCAACCGCUUCGCCGACCUCACCAACGAGGAGUACCGCAGCACCUACCUCGGCGCCCGGACCAAGCCGGACCGGGAGCGGAAGCUCAGCGCCAGGUACCAGGCC